RNAcentral lists this long non-coding RNA (1050 nucleotides) under Mytilus galloprovincialis (Mediterranean mussel). Lineage: Eukaryota; Metazoa; Mollusca; Bivalvia; Mytilida; Mytilidae. The record is from RNAcentral.
UUCCGGUAUUCGAAUUAUGAAAUGUUACGAAUCCAAUACUAAGAGAGAUUUAUAGACAUAUUUAUCCAAAAUAAUAGAUAUAUUACUUUAUUAGUUGGUUUGGUGCGUAUAAUUGGAUUUAAAACACAACAACGGCUUUUUUAUGUGAUUUUUAGAUACAGGAAUUCACUAGUUGAGAAAGUCUUCAACAUUACAGGUACAUAUUUAAUGUAUUCAUUAUAUAAAGCAUUAUGUUAAAAGUUCAGUCAAUUCAUUUCUAAAAGGGUGGUAAAGAGGGCUCUGAAAAUGGAAUACUUAAAAUAAAAAUCUUGAAAACGUUGUAUGAUAAUAAAAAUUGAAAGAAACAAAACCACAGAUCUAUAAAUUAAUAGUUUUCAAAAGUACCAGGAUAAUAACUUAGUACGCAAGACGCGCGUAAAAUCGUAAAUAUUAUGGAAAAAAGCAAUUAUAGAUUAUCGUUGGUCAUAUCAAAGAGCUCUUUUUUUUUCUCAUUCGCCGUACCUGCGUGUUAUCAAAUGAGGGAAAUUAAAAGUACCGACAAGAAAGACGGAUAACCUCCAAGAGGGAAAACGAAGCACAAAUGUCGAACCAGACACGAGAAAACGUCAAAACACAAAAAAUCUUGAAAUAAAAAGACCGAAAACGUUGCACGAAAAUAACCCUUUACCAUCCUCUGUUUGAGAUGCAUUCUGAUUAAGGUUGAAUUUCUGUAGUCCAAUGCAAUAAUCUUUCCAUACAAUUAUUUUCUUUGAAACGUUUUACUAAGAUAUUUGUGUCUUAACAGCUAAGAAUCCUUUUGUUUAGAUUAUAUGCUAUAAUGAUUAAUGUUCAGAUGAAAGGAAUGAUCUUGUUAAGAAAAAUCGUUGCAUAAUACAAUUUCGUUUAAAUGAGAAAAAAGAGAAAUGCAAACCUUUAAGUUUAUCUUGCAGAAAAUGAAAACCAAUUAUCUUCUUAUUGUUAAUUUUGCUUCUAUCUAGGAGACGACAUGAACUUAUCACAGGAACAAAAACUUCAGCAAUGGAACGAUGAACAAGUUCAAAUUUAUAUCGG